This 371-nucleotide unclassified non-coding RNA is filed under the name uncultured fungus. RNAcentral describes it as "partial internal transcribed spacer 1". The record is from RNAcentral. Lineage: Eukaryota; Fungi.
GCGAUAACAUGUCCGAUCAGCCGAAACCGCUCGGCGGCGGCGGAACGCGUUACGCCUGCGGCGUCAUUAAAUAACCCGGAGACAGUGUUCCCUGCGCUGGAGCCUGUUCCAGCUGCGACAGCGAACAGUGUAAACGCCAGAUAAUCGCCGCCAGCUCAUGCGCGGCGGGUUGAUGAUGAUGUGCGAGCGUGUCGCAGAUACGCUGUAGUUCCUGUAGCGUGACGGCAAGCGGGCGUUGCUGCACGCCGCGCUCGCUCAUCACAUCGCGCAGCAGGGAUAUACAAAUAUCCCGCACCCGGGAAAGCGGAUCGGAACGCGACUCCCAGGCGCGCAGCUGCCACACCACAUGCGAGCAGUUCAGCAGUACCACU